Molecule: transfer RNA, 72 nt
Filed under: Muribaculaceae bacterium
Lineage: Bacteria; Pseudomonadati; Bacteroidota; Bacteroidia; Bacteroidales; Muribaculaceae
Description: tRNA-Met
Rfam family: tRNA
About the family: Transfer RNA (tRNA) molecules are approximately 80 nucleotides in length. Their secondary structure includes four short double-helical elements and three loops (D, anti-codon, and T loops). Further hydrogen bonds mediate the characteristic L-shaped molecular structure. tRNAs have two regions of fundamental functional importance: the anti-codon, which is responsible for specific mRNA codon recognition, and the 3' end, to which the tRNAs corresponding amino acid is attached (by aminoacyl-tRNA synthetases). tRNAs cope with the degeneracy of the genetic code in two manners: having more than one tRNA (with a specific anti-codon) for a particular amino acid; and 'wobble' base-pairing, i.e. permitting non-standard base-pairing at the 3rd anti-codon position.
Source: RNAcentral
CGGGAUAGCUCAGUUGGUUAGAGCGUCGGAUUCAUAACCCGGAGGUCUCGAGUUCAAUUCUCGAUCCCGCUA